CCACCUGCGUACAGCAGGGAGCAACAAACUUAAGAGCGAGUGGCUGUUAACCACCAGGUCCGAGGUUCGAGUCCUCGCGGGGGAGCCA
RNAcentral lists this transfer RNA (88 nucleotides) under Candidatus Velamenicoccus archaeovorus. Its description in RNAcentral is "Vampirococcus sp. LiM tRNA-Asn". The record is from RNAcentral. Lineage: Bacteria; Pseudomonadati; Candidatus Omnitrophota.